RNAcentral lists this ribosomal RNA (253 nucleotides) under uncultured bacterium. Its description in RNAcentral is "partial 16S ribosomal RNA". It matches the Rfam family "Bacterial small subunit ribosomal RNA", at positions 524 to 776 of the family's 1533-position model. The record is from RNAcentral.
UACAGAGGUCCCAAGCGUUGUUCGGAUUUACUGGGCGUAAAGGGUGCGUAGGCGGUCGGGUAAGUCUGAUGUGAAAUCUCUGGGCUCAACCCAGAAAUGGCAUUGGAUACUAUUUGGCUUGAGGUCUGGAGGGGGGACUGGAAUUCUCGGUGUAGCAGUGAAAUGCGUAGAUAUCGAGAGGAACACCAGUGGCGAAGGCGGGUCUCUGGACAGUUCCUGACACUGAGGCACGAAGGCCAGGGGCGCAAACGGG